GAUGAACGCUGGCGGCGUGCCUAAUACAUGCAAGUCGAGCGAACGGACGAGAAGCUUGCUUUUCUGAUGUUAGCGGCGGACGGGUGAGUAACACGUGGAUAACCUACCUAUAAGACUGGGAUAACUUCGGGAAACCGGAGCUAAUACCGGAUAAUAUUUUGAACCGCAUGGUUCAAAAGUGAAAGACGGUCUUGCUGUCCCUUAUAGAUGGAUCCGCGCUGCAUUAGCUAGUUGGUAAGGUAACGGCUUACCAAGGCAACGAUGCAUAGCCGACCUGAGAGGGUGAUCGGCCACACUGGAACUGAGACAUGGUCCAGACUCCUACGGGAGGCAGCAGUAGGGAAUCUUCCGCAAUGGGCGAAAGCCUGACGGAGCAACGCCGCGUGAGUGAUGAAGGUCUUCGGAUCGUAAAACUCUGUUAUUAGGGAAGAACAUAUGUGUAAGUAACUGUGCACAUCUUGACGGUACCUAAUCAGAAAGCCACGGCUAACUACGUG
RNAcentral lists this ribosomal RNA (497 nucleotides) under uncultured bacterium. RNAcentral describes it as "partial 16S ribosomal RNA". It matches the Rfam family "Bacterial small subunit ribosomal RNA", at positions 28 to 507 of the family's 1533-position model. The record is from RNAcentral.